GAUGAACGCUAGCUACAGGCUUAACACAUGCAAGUUGAGGGGGCAUCGGGAAAGCAGCUUGCUGCUUUGCCGGCGACCGGCGGAUGGGUGAGUAACGCGUACCCAACCUGCCCCCUUCCCGGGCACAGCCCUUGGAAAACGAGGAUUAACGCCCGAUGGCGUCGGAUUUCCGCAUGGUUUCCGACCAAAUGCGAAGGAAGGGGAUGGGGGUGCGUCCCAUUAGCUAGUUGGCGGGGUAACGGCCCACCAAGGCGUCGAUGGGUAGGGGUUCUGAGAGGAAGGUCCCCCACACUGGAACUGAGACACGGUCCAGACUCCUACGGGAGGCAGCAGUGAGGAAUAUUGGUCAAUGGAGGCAACUCUGAACCAGCCAAGUAGCGUGAGGGAUGACUGCCCUACGGGUUGUAAACCUCUUUUGUCGGGGAAUAAACAGCGCCACGCGUGGCGCCCUGCAUGUACCCGCAGAAUAAGGACCGGCUAAUUCCGUG
Molecule: ribosomal RNA, 488 nt
Filed under: uncultured bacterium
Lineage: Bacteria
Description: bacterial SSU rRNA
Rfam family: Bacterial small subunit ribosomal RNA
Source: RNAcentral